This 465-nucleotide ribosomal RNA is filed under the name uncultured bacterium. RNAcentral's name for it is "partial 16S ribosomal RNA". It matches the Rfam family "Bacterial small subunit ribosomal RNA", at positions 338 to 795 of the family's 1533-position model. The record is from RNAcentral.
CCUACGGGGGGCAGCAGUAGGGAAUCUUCCACAAUGGGCGAAAGCCUGAUGGAGCAACGCCGCGUGGGUGAAGAAGGUCUUCUGAUCGUAAAACCCUGUUGUUAGAGAAGAAAGUUCGUGCGAGUAACUGUUCACGUUUCGACGGUAUCUAACCAGAAAGCCACGGCUAACUACGUGCCAGCAGCCGCGGUAAUACGUAGGUGGCAACCGUUAUCCGGAUUUAUUGGGCGUAAAGGGAACGCAGGCGGUCUUUUAAGUCUGAUGUGAAAGCCUUCGGCUUAACCGGAGUAGUGCAUUGGAAACUGGCAGACUUGAGUGCAGAAGAGGAGAGUGGAACUCGAGGUGUAGCGGUGAAAUGCGUAGAUAUAUGGAAGAACACCAGUGGCGAAAGCGGCUCUCUGGACUGUAACUGACGCUGAGGUUCGAAAGCGUGGGUAGCAAACAGGAUUAGAUACCCGAGUAGUC